RNAcentral lists this ribosomal RNA (645 nucleotides) under Aspilodemon sp. RDB-2000. RNAcentral's name for it is "eukaryotic LSU rRNA". It matches the Rfam family "Eukaryotic large subunit ribosomal RNA", at positions 420 to 798 of the family's 3401-position model. The record is from RNAcentral. Lineage: Eukaryota; Metazoa; Arthropoda; Insecta; Hymenoptera; Braconidae.
CCUGAGAAACCCAAAAGAUCGAAUGGGGAGAUUCAUCGUCAGCUUUGUUUGAUAUAUAUAUGAGUUAUGAUAUGAAUAUAUUCUCUCACGGGAAUAUUAAUUUGUACAUACUUGUAUUAUUUUAUUGUUAAAUAUUGUCGGCGUGCACUUCUCCCCUUGUAGGACGUCGCGACCCGUUGAAUGUCGAUCUACGGCCCAAUUGGGUAGCCUUUGAUUGUAAUAAAUUAAAGACCAAUUGGUGUUUUCUGAACGACUGCUCGGCGGUACUCGUAUGGUAUUGAGUCGCAUAUUUAAUAUGCGUUAACACCCGUCGCAAGCGCGGCCAGUUACCCGGUAGUACGGACCUAGUGCCGUCGCUGGGCCUAGCCAGCUGUUGGCUGUUGCGGUGUUCUGUAACUGACUCUAAAAUAAUAUUACCGGUCAGCGACGCUACUGCUUUGGGUACUUUCAGGACCCGUCUUGAAACACGGACCAAGGAGUCUAACAUGUGCGCAAGUCAUUGGGAUUAUUUUAUUAAAUUAAACCUAAAGGCACAAUGAAAGUAAAGAUUGUCUUUGCGACGAUUAAGGGAGGAUGAGUCGUAUUACGAUGCGGCUCCGCACUCCCGGGGCGUCUUAUUNNNNAUUAUGAGANNNNCGCACCCAG